Molecule: long non-coding RNA, 398 nt
Filed under: Physcomitrium patens
Lineage: Eukaryota; Viridiplantae; Streptophyta; Bryopsida; Funariales; Funariaceae
Description: long non-coding RNA (PPAT_LNC000007)
Source: RNAcentral
GCCGAUAGGUCUCUAAACGUUACAGAGAACCCCGAACAACCCAAUCUGCUAAUCUCCGAUACCGCUUUGUACUUACGACCUUAUAUCCAUUGACUGUCCUGUUAGAUUAACCCAAUAAAUUUAAUUCACUCCACAUACUCAAUCCUAUAGAAAACCUUUUAAUUCUUCAAUCACAGACGUAACUCGAUUUCACAAAACAGUCAAGAGUAAUCAAACCCACUUCAUUAAAAAAUCCUGAUUCACCAUUACAACACUGACUUCAGCAACGAUUGCCUCAGUCUUCCCAAAACCCUAUAAAGAAGAAAAAUCCAAUUCUCCGUCUUUUCUUCCCCGACCCGAAGCAUGAAGCUCCUUUCCAAUCCCCUUGAUCUUCAAAAACCUCCAAUAAAACCGAACUA